AAGAGUCUAUGAGUGAGUGGUAACUUAAUGCUGUCUUCUGUGAUUUUCUGUUUUUAGCUCAUCUAAUCCAGAAUAAUGGAGAAAGUCGCAUGGUUUUCUGCAGUGAGACAGUGGAGAGACAGUCCACAUCCAAGCACCCUGAAUGCAUCAAAAAUCUUUGAGAAACGAUCUCCCAAAGCUCUGAGGUGGCCUUACCUUCAUAUGGAGGACCCUAGAGGAUGUUAUAUAUCACAGAAAACCAACUAUACACCUGGUCCUCACAGAAGAAAUUGAAAAUUCAUGUGCAGCAAUCUCAAUGACCAAGGUUACCCAAGGAGCAUUUUGCCAUAUGGAUGAAUGUCUUGAAGCUAAUGGCCACCACUUUCAGGACCUCUUGUGAUUGCAGAGGCCAAAGGUAAUUUGUAUUAAUCCCAUCAGGUUUCAAUUAAUUUAUACAAGUAUUUCUUUUUC
Molecule: long non-coding RNA, 450 nt
Filed under: Fukomys damarensis (Damara mole-rat)
Lineage: Eukaryota; Metazoa; Chordata; Mammalia; Rodentia; Bathyergidae
Description: lncRNA (ENSFDAG00000027877.1)
Source: RNAcentral